ACGAUGUUCCGCUGUGCCGGUUUUUGUGGCCAAGAGCAUCUG
Molecule: small RNA, 42 nt
Filed under: Bacillus subtilis subsp. subtilis str. 168
Lineage: Bacteria; Bacillati; Bacillota; Bacilli; Caryophanales; Bacillaceae
Description: L19_leader
Rfam family: Ribosomal protein L19 leader
About the family: This family is a putative r-protein leader autoregulatory structure found in B. subtilis and other low-GC Gram-positive bacteria. It is located in the 5' untranslated regions of mRNAs encoding ribosomal protein L19 (rplS).
Source: RNAcentral